RNAcentral lists this transfer RNA (79 nucleotides) under Actinomadura nitritigenes. Its description in RNAcentral is "tRNA-Tyr". The record is from RNAcentral. Lineage: Bacteria; Bacillati; Actinomycetota; Actinomycetes; Streptosporangiales; Thermomonosporaceae.
GGGGGAGGAGUGCCAAGAUCCAUGACGGGCUGUAAAUCCGUCGGCUUAGCCUACGCAGGUUCGAACCCUGCACCCGCCA